This is a long non-coding RNA of Pezoporus occidentalis (night parrot), 1252 nucleotides long. RefSeq lists it as uncharacterized. The transcript is spliced from 3 exons. NCBI's taxonomy places the organism in Eukaryota, Metazoa, Chordata, Aves, Psittaciformes, Psittacidae. The record is from RefSeq and is a predicted model, not a curated record.
CUUUAGACCUAAAGUACUUCCCUAUGCUAAGAAUGGCAUUUACUUCUGAAAGAGUACUUGUCUAAAUAACACGGACCCGCGGGCAGGGGAUUUCCCCACGGCGAGGGGCUACACAAUCACUUGCUAAAAGGAGCAAGUAAUAGGAUUGAAGCAAUUAAAGCUCGAAUAUCAUAUUUUAACAAAGGAAGUGGGGAAGAAAUAACCGAUUUAAACUCAGGAGCGACAAAGCUGUCGUCUUCACUGCUUCUCCCGGGGCUCCUCCGGGCUUUUUUGCUUCUCUUUGGUGGGGAAGGUUUCCAGGAUGCCGAGUUUAAUGCUGCCCUCCGAGCCCACCAGCAAGAUGUUAAAAGUGUCCCUGAAUUCCUCCACAUUUCCUGACAGCCAGAUCCCAUUGUACAGUGCAUUGCUGACCCCUUUAACAGCAACGACAAAAAAAUAGUACAAGUUCAACUCUAUGGAAACCUGCAUAAAGGAAUGUACAGCAUUUUUGCAUCGGGGGGCGGGGGGGAAAUGCAGUCAAGCUGAGUUCCUCGGUCCCUGAUUAUUACAGCAAGGGGCUGAUCCUGCUCAUGCUGAACACAUGCCAAAAGCCAGGGACGAGCAGCAGAAGGCAGAGUCGCUCAGCACCUUCCAGGAUUAGGGCCUUGGGCUGAGCUCUGGGCUGGCUUGGAUGGAUCCUGCGUGGUGCUAAGAGCCAGACUAAGGAUCCCUUGCCCAGAGGCACAUUUCAGCUGCAGGGCAGCAGAGUGAGACUCUAAAGAGUCAAAAACUGGCUUGCAUCAGAAACUGUUUUGCAUCAACUGCUUUGCUGUGUCCUCCUCCAUCCACAGGGGUAUUCUCCAGGGACAGGUCAUUCUGAAUGAGGAUAACAGCGAGGGGCAGGCCUGGCACGUGCUCAGGCUAAGUGCUCAGCACAUCUUCCACCAGAGCCGGUGAUGCUUCUCCGGGAACGUGAGUUAAUUUAGUUCCACAUGUAGGAGGCUAAUGAAUAUUGUUAGACCCAUUGCACAGAUUGACUUCAGUCUGCAAAUGACCCUCUUUUAACCUCCCUCAUUUACUCUUAGGAACUUAAAGCAGGGAGGAAAUCACUUACUGAGUGUCACACAGCAGCAGCCGCAGAAGGCUGGAGCCCCCAGACCCUGCUGCCCACCCCAUGGGCACCAUUUCCUUGUCAGAAAGCUAGUUCAAUACAGAAAUGUCACGUUGCUUUUGUUUGUGAUGUGAUUCAGCUUAUUAAACAGUAAGGUUUUAA